UGAUCACGCCACUGCAUGCCAGCCUGAGUGACCGAGCAACAGAGUGAGACACCAUCUCUUACAGAAAGGAAAAAAAAAAAAAAAAAAGCGGGGGGAGGGAGAGAGAGAUACACAUUAGUCUAAAGUGGAUUUUGUUGGGUCUUCUUAUCUAAGCUGGAAAUACAUUAUGCAUAAUUCACUUUCCUGCAGCGUUCUGGAUUAGAGUCAGCCACCAGAGGCGUGCAUGCAUUACGAUUUGGAAGGCAGAAGUACACCGGCACUUAUUUUCCUGUCACACUCGAAUGCUGGUGCGAGGCACCAGGCAUACUGCGGCUGUUCAAGCAUAUUGACGCCGAUAUUCUGACUCCUUGUGGAAAUGGAGCCGCAUCCUGCCUUGCAGAGCAUCAGCCAGAUCUUGUUUUUUUACUUUCUCGGAAUCAUGCAGGCAGGUGCGGCUGCUGGAGCAGGGAAUGGGCCUGCCGUUUAUUUAGCCCCUAUCAGCUUCCUAGCUCCAGCUGCUCUAAUUGCAGGGCUAGGCGUAUGUUUAGCUCUAUGGCAAGAGCCUCCAGCUUCUCCUGCAUAUCUCAAACCUCAUCAAAAGCUGGCAGCUUGGAGGUAGUGAGACACAGAGGAGAGAUCCAGUUCAUCAAGGUGGAGUUUUGCUCUUGCUGUCCAGGCUGGAGUGCAAUGGCCUGACCUCGUCUCACCAGAACCUACUCUUCCCAGGUUCAAGCCAUUCUCAUGCCCUGCCUCAGCCUACCGAGUAGCUGGGCUUACAGACAUAUGCCACCACACCCGGCUAAAUUUGUGUUUUUAGUGGAGACCAGGUUUCUCCAUGUUGGUCAGGAUCGAACUCCUGUCCUUAGAUGAUCUGCCCACCUUGACCUCCCAAAGUGCUGGGAUUACAGGCAUGAGCCACUGUGCCCAGCCUUGGACUUACAUUUAAAUAUGAAAUUAGAUCAAUAAAGCAUUUAGAAGAUAACACAGGGGAAUAUUAUAAGGAACUUGCCAGUAGCACCCUUCUUUUUUAAACAGAAUAAAAAAACAUUACAAAAAAAUUACCAGCAAAUUGGACCAUGUGAAAGUCAGUAGAUCUAGUCAUCAAAGAUCACAUUAAGACUGUGAAGAAUCAAGCCACAAGAUUAAAGAAACAUAGACAAUGUAAUAUUGACAAUGUUUUAUUUGAUAUUUAAUUUUUCUAAGAAAGUAUUUAAAAACAUUUCAAAAUAACAAGAAAAAGAAGACAAACAGCUCAAUAAAAAAUAGGCAAAGGCUUGAACAGGUGCUCAUAUAAGUGUCUUCCCAAUGAGUCCUAAGCUUACCAAAAGAUGUUCAAAGUUAUCAGUCAUCAAAGUGCAAAUCCAAACACAAUGAGACAUGUACCAGUGGCAUAUCUACUAUUAUUUUUUUUCUUUUCAAAGCACUAAAAUAAUCAAGCAUUGAAAACAUAUAGAUCAACUUAAACUCAUAUUGUCCUAUUGGUAAAAUGGGAAGUUGUAAAUAAAUAUUAGAAAAUGUUUUGCAGUAUCUACUAAAUUUGAACUAUGCAUUUACUAUGACCCAGAUCUUUUAGUCCUAAAUAGAAAUGCUUACAUGUGUUCAUCAAAGGACAUUGACCAGAGUGUUGAUAGAUGAUUAAGUCAUUAUAUAUCUAAACUAGAAAAAAAAUAGUCCGUCAUAAUUGAAUGUAUAAAUAAAUCCUAUUAUAUUAAUAUGAUGGAAAUCAAUUUGAUAAUGGAAACCAACUAUUAUUUGAAUCACUUAAUACUUAAAAAAGGCUUAUUGAUAACAAAAGCUAUAAAAUAGUAAUAAUAGUAAUAGCAACACUGGCAUGUUUCUUAAUUGUGAUAUGUUGACAUAAUCUAGGAAACUCUUAGAAACUCAGUACACAGAAACAAUAAAAUAAAAUUUUAAUUUACCUUUUAUGUGUCAGUAUAUACUUU
RNAcentral lists this long non-coding RNA (1922 nucleotides) under Callithrix jacchus (white-tufted-ear marmoset). RNAcentral's name for it is "lncRNA (ENSCJAG00000070415.1)". The record is from RNAcentral. Lineage: Eukaryota; Metazoa; Chordata; Mammalia; Primates; Cebidae.